UCAGCCACUCCAUUCAGUGUGGGGUCACUGCA
Molecule: non-coding RNA, 32 nt
Filed under: Rattus norvegicus (Norway rat)
Lineage: Eukaryota; Metazoa; Chordata; Mammalia; Rodentia; Muridae
Source: RNAcentral